RNAcentral lists this ribosomal RNA (603 nucleotides) under Staphylococcus pasteuri. RNAcentral's name for it is "bacterial SSU rRNA". It matches the Rfam family "Bacterial small subunit ribosomal RNA", at positions 55 to 640 of the family's 1533-position model. Lineage: Bacteria; Bacillati; Bacillota; Bacilli; Caryophanales; Staphylococcaceae. The record is from RNAcentral.
AUGCAAGUCGAGCGAACAGAUAAGGAGCUUGCUCCUUUGACGUUAGCGGCGGACGGGUGAGUAACACGUGGAUAACCUACCUAUAAGACUGGGAUAACUUCGGGAAACCGGAGCUAAUACCGGAUAAGAUUUUGAACCGCAUGGUUCAAUAGUGAAAGACGGCCUUGCUGUCACUUAUAGAUGGAUCCGCGCCGUAUUAGCUAGUUGGUAAGGUAACGGCUUACCAAGGCAACGAUACGUAGCCGACCUGAGAGGGUGAUCGGCCACACUGGAACUGAGACACGGUCCAGACUCCUACGGGAGGCAGCAGUAGGGAAUCUUCCGCAAUGGGCGAAAGCCUGACGGAGCAACGCCGCGUGAGUGAUGAAGGUCUUCGGAUCGUAAAACUCUGUUAUCAGGGAAGAACAAACGUGUAAGUAACUGUGCACGUCUUGACGGUACCUGAUCAGAAAGCCACGGCUAACUACGUGCCAGCAGCCGCGGUAAUACGUAGGUGGCAAGCGUUAUCCGGAAUUAUUGGGCGUAAAGCGCGCGUAGGCGGUUUUUUAAGUCUGAUGUGAAAGCCCACGGCUCAACCGUGGAGGGUCAUUGGAAACUGGAAAA